This 77-nucleotide transfer RNA is filed under the name bacterium. RNAcentral describes it as "tRNA-Arg". It matches the Rfam family "tRNA". Rfam says of the family: Transfer RNA (tRNA) molecules are approximately 80 nucleotides in length. Their secondary structure includes four short double-helical elements and three loops (D, anti-codon, and T loops). The record is from RNAcentral.
GCGCCCGUAGCUCAGUGAAUCAGAGCGCCUGACUACGAAUCAGGAUGACGGGGGUUUGAAUCCCUCCGGGCGUUCCA